CAGUAGCCGCGGUAAUACGUAGGUGGCAAGCGUUGUCCGGAAUUAUUGGGCGUAAAGGGCUCGCAGGCGGUUUCUUAAGUCUGAUGUGAAAGCCCCCGGCUCAACCGGGGAGGGUCAUUGGAAACUGGGAAACUUGAGUGCAGAAGAGGAGAGUGGAAUUCCACGUGUAACGGUGAAAUGCGUAGAGAUGUGGAGGAACACCAGUGGCGAAGGCGACUCUCUGGUCUGUAACUGACGCUGAGGAGCGAAAGCGUGGGGAGCGAACAGGAUUAGAUACCGCGUAGUCCCUGUCUCUUAUACA
RNAcentral lists this ribosomal RNA (301 nucleotides) under uncultured bacterium. RNAcentral's name for it is "partial 16S ribosomal RNA". It matches the Rfam family "Bacterial small subunit ribosomal RNA", at positions 509 to 808 of the family's 1533-position model. The record is from RNAcentral.